This is a non-coding RNA of Triticum urartu, 1001 nucleotides long. The record is from RefSeq and is a predicted model, not a curated record. NCBI's taxonomy places the organism in Eukaryota, Viridiplantae, Streptophyta, Magnoliopsida, Poales, Poaceae.
UGCUUAUUUUUAAGAACAAGACAAAGUCUGGUUAUGGAGUCAUUUUUUUUGCAGACAAAAGAAAAGGACAGGACUCGCUCGGUGGGCUCAGCUGCGUACUGGGCUGUCCAUGCAACUCUAGCCGGCGGUGGGCUCGCUCGUCCUCAUCCCCAACUCCCCUAAAAAAAACUAGCCGGCGGUGCCCCCCAUCUGCGGCGCCGGCGAACCGGACCGUGCCUCUCGUCUUGCACGCGCUGCCGUCAUUGCUCACCGCGAAAUCCUCCCCUCACUAGUAUCGCAUCUCUCUACCGCAUCCCAUCUGCAGGGGCGCGCGCCGCCGCGCCGUUCCAAUCGACGGCCUCCGGAAGGGAAAGGGGGGCAUGGGCCGCCUCGCCGCCGUCGUCUUCGGUCUCAUCCCUCCUCGUCGACAAAGGCUGCAGGGCAGACAAGUCUGCAGCCUGAAGGGCAAGGACGGGGAUAAAUCAUACGAGUGGUUCGGUAAACAAAGAAUCACACGAAUGGCAAUUCAAAUUAAGAGCAGCAACUUCUCGCACACCAACAUUGCAAAUUACUGGAUGAUCUGAUGAAUGGCAUUGCUUUAUCUGCUUCAUGAUUAUAUUACAACUUACAGCAAGAAAGCUAACAUACCAACACUUGUAAACAUCUGAACUCUACAAGAAAGCUGACAUACCAACUUAUUGCAGAAAGUAAGAAAGCUAACAUACAGCAAAAAAAGCAUAAUAGAACUGUAAACAUCUGACUUGUAGGAUACUGUUCCAAAGUUCAGAAAAUGUGGUCCUUUAUGUGCCUCCCUUCGCCCAUCGGUGUUGAAUAUGAUUAAUCUAUUGUUGUUUAAUUAAAGGCUAGGUUAGUGUUAGGUUUGUAAGAACCAUAUGAGGGGAAACCCAGGAAAUAUGGAUCAAGACCCAGGAUCUGUGCGGCAUCGUGACCUUAACUGAUGAAAAUGAUAUAUGUGUGUUGUUUCUGGACAAAUCUAGGAAAUUUACUGUUACUUCCUUAAA